AGUGAACGCUGGCGGUAGGCCUAACACAUGCAAGUCGAACGGCAGCACAGUAAGAGCUUGCUCUUACGGGUGGCGAGUGGCGGACGGGUGAGGAAUACAUCGGAAUCUACUUUUUCGUGGGGGAUAACGUAGGGAAACUUACGCUAAUACCGCAUACGACCUACGGGUGAAAGCAGGGGAUCUUCGGACCUUGCGCGAUUGAAUGAGCCGAUGUCGGAUUAGCUAGUUGGCGGGGUAAAGGCCCACCAAGGCGACGAUCCGUAGCUGGUCUGAGAGGAUGAUCAGCCACACUGGAACUGAGACACGGUCCAGACCCCUACGGGAGGCAGCAGUGGGGAAUAUUGGACAAUGGGCGCAAGCCGGAUCCAGCCAUACCGCGUGGGUGAGGAAGGCCUUCGGGUUGUAAAGCCCUUUUGUUGGGAAAGAAAAGCAGCAGGUUAAUACCCCGCUGUUCUGACGGUACCCAAAGAAUAAGCACCGGCUAACUUCGUG
This 492-nucleotide ribosomal RNA is filed under the name uncultured bacterium. RNAcentral describes it as "partial 16S ribosomal RNA". It matches the Rfam family "Bacterial small subunit ribosomal RNA", at positions 29 to 507 of the family's 1533-position model. The record is from RNAcentral.